This 7977-nucleotide long non-coding RNA is filed under the name Nicotiana benthamiana. RNAcentral describes it as "long non-coding RNA (NBEN_LNC012311)". The record is from RNAcentral. Lineage: Eukaryota; Viridiplantae; Streptophyta; Magnoliopsida; Solanales; Solanaceae.
AGGUAAAAUAUACGUUCUAUAAAAUCAAUAAAACAUAAUUCAUCCGUAAGACUUACACAACAUGGUGAGAACGAAACAUAUAGCAUGAGAAAUUAUAUUUUUUAUAUAAAUGAGGACUUCCACUGUGAUUCCAACUAUCAAUGGUAGAAUAUUUAGCAUUGUGAUUCCAACUAUAGGAGAAGUAAGUCCAAAACUGAAGUAAUUAUAAGCAAGCCACUAUAUAAAGACAAUUAGUGCACAUCAUAACAAAAGCACUAUUGCAACUGAAAAUAUUCAUGUGUUGAUAAACUUUGGCGUAGAAACAAAAAUCAGCAAAUAUCUUACGAAGAAAGAAACAGAACCUCGGACGGGAGCCAACGACAACAGACUCGAACUCGCCAGAACUCAAGCUGGACCUCACCGUCGACCUCACCGAUCUUUAGAACCCACCCGGAUCUGAAAAUUGGAGCUUCAUGACUGAAAUUUCAAGCAAAAUUACACGAGAAGGAUCAACCAACUGCUGUGACCGAAAUAGGAAAUGGGCGGAACUCGAGCGAACCAAAUCCGGACGAUGAACAGCAAAGGACUCAAACAAAACCAAACGAGACCUUGAGCGGAUGGCAGCUCUUAGUCAGGCUCGAACCAAUGAAAGCACACACGUGCUCCAUGAUGAGAUAGAAAUCGAAACCGGCAUGAAGACGAUUGAAACUUAUAUCAUUUCUGAUUUUCUCGAAUUUGAGGCAGAGAUGAAGCGAAUCGUUGUCAAACUUAAGGUUUUCUGGCGGGUUUAGAUGGAAAGGGGUUGGGAUGCGUCAGUUUUGGCUAUCAAAUGAGGAAUUUCAUGGAGGAAUGGAGAUUGCUGCGGUGGUGUUGCUGAUGGUGUGUUUUUUGUCAAUUUUUGUCUCCUCUUUUUUUGUCUCCCUUUUUUCAAUGAAUAGAGCAGAGUGUGGAAUCGGAUGUUAUGUGGGAGAGUUUUAUUUGGGGAGAAGGUGUUAUGUGAGAUAGUAUUUUGGGGAAGGUUUUAGGUGUGAAAAUAUUUUGGGGGAAAGUCUUAGGUGGGAAGAAAUGAUUUGGAGAGAAAAUAUUUUGGUGAAGGUUCUUCCUAUUAUUUUACUCCCAAUUUCUUUUUUAUCUUCCUCUCUUUUGUAUUUUAUUUACUUAUUUUUGUAUUUUAUUUUCUGAUUUUGUUAAAUGCUAAAUUAAAACUCAAGGCCAAAUUAACAUUAAAAAUUAAAUUUUCUAAUUAAUUCCUAAAUUAAAAUGCAAACUAAUACCAAAAAAAUAUAAAAAGUGCCAUUUUUGUUAUUUUCUUCCUAUUUUGUUUUAAAAUAAAUUAACCCCUAAUUAAUCCUAAAAUAUGAAAUUAGAUCCUAAAUACAAAUGCAUAUUUUUGUAUUCUAUUAUUGUGAUUUUAAAAUAUUAAAAUGUAUGAAAUGAGACUACAAAAGAAAAAAUUUCUAAAAGAUCAAUAAAAAUUAUUUUGACUUAUUAUAGAAGCUAUUUUCAUGUAGGGCUAUCACGUGCUUACAGAAAUGGUCAAAAUCCAAUUUUUAGAACAACUCUCUGCCUCCAGCCUUUUUUGCACCUGCAAAACUAUUUCCGCUUUCGCGUUCCCGCUUUUGCGUACAAAACUCUGCUUCUGCGGACAAGGGGCUCCAGCCUAAUUUCGCUUCUACGGUCAGCCAACCGCUUCUGCGGCUCCGCAUCGGCAGAUCUAGGGCCGCUUCUGCGGUCCUGGCUACCCUCACACUCAACCGCUUUUGCGGCUUCCUCCUUGCUUGUGCGGGGCCGCAUCUGCGGUCCCAUCUUCGCAGAUGCGGAAAUACCAGCAACCAGCAACUCCUUUUUUUCCAAAAAUUCAUUUUCGAUUUGUUAACCACCCGGAAUCCCCCCGAGGCACCCUAGGACCCCAGCCAAUCAUACCAACAAGUCCCAAAACACGCUACGGGCUUGCUAUAGGCCUCAAAUAGCAUCAAACAAUGCUAAAACCAUGAAUUACACUCCGAUUCAAGCUUUAUGAACUUUGAACUUUCCAACUUCUACUUCCGAUGUUUAAACAUAUCAAAUCAUGUUCGAUUGGCCUCAAAUUUUGCACAAGUCAUAUUUGACAUUACGGACCUACUCCAACUUCCGGAAUUGGAUUCCGAUCACGAUAUCGAAAAGUCUACUCUCGGUCAAACUUCUCAAAAACCUUCAAAUUUCUAUCUUUAGUCAAAUGACUCUAAAAUGAAAUGCGGACAUCCGAAUUCAAUUGCGGUUGCACUUCCAACUCCAGAAUUACCAUAAGGAGCUACUCCCAGUCUCGGAAUCCCAAACGGACAUCGAUAACACUGAAAUCCCCAGGUUAUCCAAAACCCGAACCGGGCACACGCCCUAGUCCGAAAUCAUCAUACAAACCUGCUGGAACCUUCAGAUCCCGAUUCUGAGGUCACUUACUAAUUAAUCCAAUCCUAGUUCAUUCUUUCAACUUCAAGUCUUUCUAAAUCAACUCCGAAUUUUCCGAAUUCAAUUCCAAUCAUACGUACAAGUGCACCUGCCUAUUUUUCAUGUAAGACUCUUUGCAUUUCUCACUAAACAACUCAGUAAGAUACCCUUGUUUCAACAAGUGAUCAACUUCACUUUGUAAAAAUCAGCAAUCAGAGGUUUUAUGAUCGUGGUCAUGAUGAAACUCACACCAAUGAUCAGGGUUACACGAAUUUGGAUUUGACCUCAUCUCUUUUCGCCAUCGGACCUUAUAUCCCAUGCUUCUCAAAUCAGCUACGAGCUCAUAGGUGCUAGCGUUGAAAUUAUAACCAACGAAUCUUGCCUUUAAACUUCUAUGAUUUUCCCGUGACUUACGAUUAUGUCGCUCGUUCCUAAAUCUUGGUGAGGAACCUGAUUCAUUGUUUCUAUAUUUAUGAUCGUACCUUUGAUUAUCUGGCCUUGACCGUGAGUAUUUACCCGCAAUUCCUAUGUAAGGCUCGUAUCUAUUUUUACCGAACCUCUUUUCAUUUUUUGUACGUCUCGAGCUUACCUUCUCCUCUCUUUGGAAUCGUGGAACAGUGUCCUCUUCAUUACCUAUUAUAAACAUCAUUCCAUGUUGUAGCAUGAAAUUCUCAAAGGCUCUCCUUGAGUCUCCUCGUGGCCUUCGAGAUUUUGUCAUUCAAAUUACUUGUGAAAGCUAUAGCUGCCCAGUUGUCAGGUACUCGCGGUAAAGUCAUUCUUUCACGUUAAAAUCUAUUCCAUGAAAUCUCGAAGUAGCUCUGCAUAUCCUUGCUUGAUUUUGAAGAUAUCUUCCAUUCUUUUUUCUACUUUUUGAGAUCCCGAGUGUGCUUUAAGGCACCAUUGGUGAGCGUUUCUCCAAAUUUCUUGACUAGUACUGAUUCAAUCUCCUGCUUGGUCAAAUCAUUACCUUUUACGCCAGUUGUUAAUGCAAUCCCAUGAUCCCGUGGGUCUUUUCUUCUAUCAUACUUUGGGACAUCAGGAAUUUUAAACUUAUUUGGAAUUGGAAGGAGAGCAGCACUUGUCCUCCAAGGUUGUUGUGAAUAUUUAUCCAUAUAUACCUCUUUGAUUACAGGCGGAACUCCGGGUAUUUGCUCUAUGCGGUCAUUUUGCUCCUUGAGUUGUUUCUGCAAGGUUAUUGUUUCUGCAAGGUUAAAAUUAAAUUUUGCAAAUGCGAAUUAACUGAAUUACCUGGUUCUCCUACUUGAGAUUCGCUGGGAGCUCCUCAAUUUCCUAAAUUUAUAAGCUCAGAACGAGGGUUCUCCAAUGUGUUAUUAUUGGGCGUAGUGUGGGUGGUGCAGCAAGUAGCUGACUGACUAGAGCCUGAACAACUUUAUUGCCUUGUGCAGCAAUUACCUUUGGUAAAGCUUAAUCUACCCCUUCAAAAUUUUCAAAUUGAUCCUGUCCAUCUGGAUGAUAUUCCGGAGUGCCUUCACGGGAGUGCCAUAGUGAACCACGUGGAGAAGGGACCAGGUUAAUGUUUUGUAGAUUUCCCUGAACUUGUUGAUUUACCUGAUUUCCUGGAGUGUUAUCAUUGUUGUUUGCCAUAAUUGAUGAAAAUAGAUUAUCAGAUUUCCGUUAACGGAAUCAAUUUGUUUAACCAAAAAAUAGAUUUUGAGUCAAAACUAGAAUUUUAGAAGAACAUGAGUUACUGAUAAUUAAAAGAGAAUAUAAAGAAAGACUUUUGAGAACAAUGUGAUUAGAAAGCAAGUAAAUCAAAGUAUCUUCCAAUAAUAUUUUGUGUCCUACAAUUCUUUGUUCUUUCUCCUUUUAUAGCUUUGUUGGGACUAUGAGCCUUGCCUAAGCUAUAAUGAGAUAAUAAUGAGCAAUAAAUGACUUUUAAUAAUAUGUUAUACAAUCAUAUACAUUAAAUACAUAUUCCAUAAUGCCUUCUACAUUUAAUACUCGUCAAAUGCUAUGUUUGGACUCACAUAUGCGGUCAGAUUCAUUCUCUUGAUUCUUUGUGACCCCUGAGCUUUAAAUGACUUAAACAUGUACGAGUGUGGAGUCACUUUCUUAUCUGUCGCAUUUCUUAGCUAAUCAUAACCCUUUGACCAUUUGACCAAUCCUUGUGUCAUGACAUGUCAGCUUCAAUAUUAAAACUCGAUUUUUCUGAAUACAAUGAGAUUUUGUGAAUUGGACAAGUGAAUCAAGCUUCUUUCUAUGAUUUCAUGUAUUCGAAUAGGCCUAAAGUCAAUUUCCAAUUGAAGAAAUGAUCUCGUUAAGUUCAAAAUGACACAUGUAGCCUACUUGGUAUGAAGAUUGAUCGUGCGAGCACGUUAUUGCGUCUUUAGUUACAUUUUGUUAGCUAAAUGAUUGAUGUAAAUGAAAGCCAACUUCUAUACAUGUUUUCUACUUAAGGUGUUUUCAUUCAUGUAUACGAUGAAAUGUAUAACCGACUUUAAAGAUGUUUUAGGGUAUACAUACGCGGGGCAAGCAUAAGUAUGCCAAGCAUGUCUAUAAGUGUAAUUUUGAGUCUUGAAUGUUAUGAGUAUCAUGUGGAGUUUUUCAAAACCUAAAUAAUUUGAUUCUUGUAUUAUAUAAAAUAUGUAGAUCUUAAAUAAUUUGUGAAGUUAUAUUUGUGUUCUAAAAUUUAUGAGUAUAACACAUUUUGAAGUUUAUAAGUUUACAAAUGAUAUGAGAUAAUUCACAUAUCAGUAAUUAUGUUUCUCAAAGCUAUAAAAUAUGAUAUGUUUAGCUAGAAGCCAUGGCUUGUGAGAGAAUGAAAAACGAAUGUUGCCUAAGAUCAAGCUAUCGAGAAGGUUUGGCAGUCUCCAUUUUUUGAAUCAUUAAAGAGAUAGAAAAUGAUUUAUCUAUAUUUUAUACUAAUUAAAUGAGAGAAAUAAUUUGAGCCUAGCUCAUAUUAAUUAUUCAUGCUGUCAUGACUCAAAAUUCACUGAGGGUCGUGGUGGCGCCUGACACUGCCGCCAGGCAAUCCAACAAAAAAUACUUAAUUAACUUUAAAUUUUAGUUCUUGUUGAAAUCGUUAUUCUUUAUACAUUUAAAUACAGUAAAUAAUGAGAUUUAUAGGAUUAACCAUGGAGUCUUUAACGAACUUAAUAUUGAAUAAUCCAAAAUUAUCCCAGAACCCGGUUCCGCAAGUGCAUGAACUAUUCUAUAAAGCAAUACAAUACAACAACUGUCCGGAAUACAAUAUUGGACAGGAAAUAAAUAUAGAUAACUGAAAGAGACUUUGCUGGCUGCGGGUCGCCUCGAGAACUGCAGCUCACCUAAGUCUCCGUAUCAACCAUGCUGCUACGCCCAGUAGGCCACUAGACAUGCAGGUUCCUGUGCAACAAAAAUGCACAGCAAGUGUAGCAUGAGUACAAAAACAACGUAUACUCAGCAAGUAUCCCGUCUAAUCACAAAGAAAUAGAGACGAGAGAUCGACUUCGACACUUGUUAACAGUCCAACAAUAAUAAAUAAAAAUGUGAGGAAAUCAUGAAUUUAUAUAGCAGCUAUAACUCACAAAGUCGGAAAACAAGUAAACACCUUUAACAAAUAAUAAAGGAUUUCCAAGAUUUACUUUUCAUUAUCUUUGUAAUUAUAUAUAGAGGGCCAUGAAAGGCAACAUCAACAUUUAAAACUCUCAGGCAAGCAAUAUAAGCAUGUGCAUAUUAUGUCGAGGUUGUACGACCCGCUCAAAUAGAAAUAUAAAUUGUGCACUACCGAGGGUCGAACGACUCGAAUCAUAGAUGCAUCUAUUACCAUGCUCGCGAACUAUCCUCCGACGCAGUCAACAUAAAAUAAACAAAUACCCUACUCGUGAAUCAUACAUGUGAUGCAGGUAAAUAGAUGUACAUGCUCAAACAGCUAAUUAAGGAUUUAUCGGGGAACAUGUAUCCACAUAAAAGCCAAUCCUCUUUUAAAAAUUUAAGAAAAUGAAGUUUAAUCCUCUUAGAGAUUUAUUUACUAAUUCAAUGUGAUUUAAGCAAUUCAAAAUGUCAAUAAGUUUACGAUUAAUCCAAGUAUAGCAUGCUUUUGGAUCCUAGACUAUCCGUAUAAUAGCAUAAUAGUAGCUACGCACGGACUCUCUUCACCUCGUACGUAUGUAGCCCCCACAAAUAGGAUAACAUAACCAAUUAAUUCACCUAUGGAGACAAUUCCCUCUUACAAGGUUAGAAAGAAGACUCACCUCGCUCGAAGAUCCAUAAUCGGCAUUCCACGCUCCUCCGAAAAUUAAAUCGACGCAUAAUGCUCCAACACUAGCCAAUAAUUAUAAAAAUCCAUUAAUAUAUGCUCAAUUACUCAUUACAAUACAAUUUAUAGCAAUUCCCAACUCGAUCGAAAAGUUAACAAAAUUGCCCUCAUGCCUAUGUGCCAGGAUUUAAAAUUAUUUGAAGAUAAAGUUAAUCCAUGAACUCACGAACUCAAAUAUAUGAUUUUCUCUUAAUUUCAUACCCAAAAUCGUGAUUAACUUCCAAGAAUAUAAACUCUAGGUCUUUCUACCAAAACUCCCAAAUUUCUACCAAUUUACAUGCUAAAAUCCAUACAUAAUCAACGUAUUUAACUCAAGAAGGAUGAGAUUAGCUUACCUUAUCGUUGAUAAUGAAAAUCCCACUUGAAUCUCUCCCAAAAAUCGCACAAGCCAAGAAAAUAUGAGAGAAAAUGGCCAAAUCCCGGUUUUUAAAACAUCUAUUUGCCUCCGGCACUUUCUGCACCUGCGGUCACAAUAGCGCUUUUGCGGUUUCGUAGGUGCGAGCCAAUCUACCGCUUAUGCGGUUUUUCCCCAGGCUCCCCUUUUCCGCUUCUGCGCUUCUAGUCCAUCAGGUCCAGUUUCACUUCUACAGCCAAACGACCGCAUCUGCGGUUCCAGCUCUCUUUUGCCAAAUCUGCAUCUGUGACUAUUGGGCUGCUUCUGCGGCUCCGCACCGGCCAAAACAUCGCAGGUGCGGUUACACCAGAUACCAGCUGCUUCAGCCAUUCUUUAAAUUCAAAAUUUGAUUCGUUAACCAUCCAAAAUCUACCCUAGGCCACCGGAACCCAACUAAUCAUACCAACCAGUCCUAAAAUACAUUACGGACUCGCUCGAGACCUCAAAUCAUAUCAAACAAUGCAAAAUUACACGAGAAGGAUCAACCAACUGCUGUGACCGAAAUAGGAAAUGGGCGGAACUCGAGCGAACCAAAUCCGGACGAUGAACAGCAAAGGACUCAAACAAAACCAAACGAGACCUUGAGCGGAUGGCAGCUCUUAGUCAGGCUCGAACCAAUGAAAGCACACACGUGCUCCAUGAUGAGAUAGAAAUCGAAACCGGCAUGAAGACGAUUGAAACUUAUAUCAUUUCUGAUUUUCUCGAAUUUGAGGCAGAGAUGAAGCGAAUCGUUGUCAAACUUAAGGUUUUCUGGCGGGUUUAGAUGGAAAGGGGUUGGGAUGCGUCAGUUUUGGCUAUCAAAUGAGGAAUUUCAUGGAGGAAUGGAGAUUGCUGCGGUGGUGUUGCUGAUGGUGUGUUUUUUGUCAAUUUUUGUCUCCUCUUUUUUUGUCUCCCUUUUUUCAAUGAAUAGAGCAGAGUGUGG